GGCAACCCACUUCAGUUUUCUUGCCUGGGAAAUCCCAUGGACAGAGGAACCUGGUGGGCUACAGUCCACGGGCUCACAAAAGAGUGGGAUAUGACUUACUAACUAAACAACAACACCACUACUGACCUGGUGGUCACUUCAGUGUCUUUCAUUAAAACAACCCCACACUCUGGCAGUGGUGACCUGUGGCACACUGGCUAGCAGACAAAAGUAAGCAAUUAAACACAUUCUCUGGGACUCCAGGUUUCUUUCAUAGUGUAUUUUGGAGUUUCAUGGACUGUACACUGUACAGUCUUUCCAUUAGUGUAUAGACCAGGGGUUCUCUACCUCUUUGAUAGCAGGAUGCCUUGACACUUAAAAAUUAUUGGAGACCACAAAGCACUUUGAUUUACAUGGGUUACUGUAUACUGAGGGGCUUCCCAAGUGGCGCUAGUGGUAAAGAAUCCACCUGCCACUGCAGAGGGCGCAGGAGAAGUGGGUUCGAUCCCUGGGUCAGGAAGACCCCCAGGAGUAGGAAAUGGCAACCCACUCCAGUAUUCUUGCCUGGAAAAUUCCAUGGACAGAGGAGCCUGGUGGGCUGCAGUCCAUGGGGACACAAAGGGUCCAAUACGACUUAGCGACUGUGUACACUCACAUUAUGUAUUGAUAUUUUCCAUAUUAGAAAUCGAGAAACAUUUGAAACACAAAAAUACACAAAUCUGUGGUUCUAUUAGCUAUCAGAGAAACUGUAUCUUCGCAUGUCAAGUAGCCCUUAGAAAAUGCCACUGUACGCUCAUGAGAUAAUGAGAGCGUAAGGGGCCAACAGUGUUUUAAUGUUAUUAUGAAAAGAGUCUUGACUUCACAGACUCCCAGCAAGGGUCUAGGAGACCCUUGGAGGGCCCAAGCCACACUUUGAGAACCGCUGGUGUAGAAGACGUGGUAUAGAACACAGAACUCAGUCUUUGAGUCUUUAUGACCUUAUGAGGUCAAACAUCUCUCAAAACACCUCUGACUCAUUCACUCACAUUGUGAUCUGAGCCAAAAUAAGACUUCUUUCACAAUCCGAAGCUGUACACUUACUUUUCUAACCCCACCUCAGAAUCAUACAUAUUUGGCCUUGAUGCAAAUACUCAGGCUCAAAAUGUGAAUCACUCCUUCGAUAAAACAGUAUUUAUAGUUAAUGUGUGAUCAUUAUUACAAAGCUAGUAUCCACAGUCAUUGAAAUAUCCAUGUAGAUCUGUUUGCUAAACUCUUCAGUAGUAACAGUGGCUUUUAAUUUCAAUACAUUAAGGAAAAUAUCAGAGCUUACUUUUUCUAAUUUUGAGACCUUUUGGAUUUUUAUGAUUUAAACUUAGGGGCUCAUAGUUCUGUGCGUUUGUCUUCAUUCCCACAUCAUUUCACACCUGUGCUUAGAGGAUGGAGUUAAUAUGACAUUAAUUUCUUUUAGUUUCUAUAUAGAGAGUAAAGUAUACUAAAAAAUACAGUUUUGUUAAUUUCUAAGAAUAAGGGGGGAAAUCAGUUGAAAUUGAGGUGACAAGAGAAAAUAAGAUCAGUAACCUAAAUAAUAACCGAGCAGAAAUGGAAGCCCUUUUACCAGCUCACAGUAUUUCAUUGCUUGGUAUGGAAAAUUAAGAGAUUUUAAAAUUGGCCCAUGUCAUACCACUUAAACGCAUCUACUUUUUUUAUGCCACUAAAUUUCAGAAAAGAGGAUUUUUCACAAGAGGCAUUUUAUAAACCUAAUGCAAUGCCCAAGAACUGGAGAUUGGCAAGUGGAAAGCAUAUAGUCUAUUUGGCUCUUAUUUUAGAGUGAGAUUAAUAGGGUAAUUUUACAGAAUUGCCCAGGAACAUCACUGUGGUUGGACUUCCCAGAUGGUGCUAGUGGUGAAGAACCCGCCUAGCAACACAGGAGACCUAAGAGACAUGGGUUCGAUUCCUUGGUGGGGAAGAUCCCCUGGCCAAGGGCACGUCAAUGCACUCCAGUAUUCUUGCCUGGAAAGUCCCAUGGACAGAGGAGCCUGGCGGGCUACAGUCCACAGGGUCACAAAGAGUCAGACAUGACUGAAGUAAAUUACACACACCACUGUGGUCAUGGUGCAUAAAUGAUUUAAUGACCAUAAUAAACGAUUUACAUUUCUUUCACUGUUUAUACCUAUUUGAAAACACAAAAACAUCUUUUUAAGGAUAGAAGUGCUUUGUUGAGUAUAAAAUCUUACACAUACACCCAGGGAGAUGUGUUGUUUUCAUUAACAUCACCUACAGUACUAGUCAGAAUUCAGAUAGUUCCUCAUAAUACACUUCCAUCUUUAGGAAUGAAGGACUCAAGUGUCAUCCUUUGACAUUACAGACCACAGUUGCUUUUCAAAUUAAGCAAGACGCAACGUCUGUUUCUAUGAACACUCCAUCUGGGACUUGCCAGUGUGGAAGCUAUUGUCUUCGCAUGACCCUGAAUCCUUUCUGACCAGAAGUUCCAGAUGCCAGUCCAGAGAAGUGUAAUGUGUAAUUCCUGGCAGGAUAUCAUCAUUUUCUUCUAGUAGAGUUUUUCUCCCUUCUUGCAAGGAAUUCUAAUAUACUUCAGGGGCCACCUAGCAUGCUGGUCGGGAAGAUGUGCUUUGGAAUAAGAGUGCAUUAUUUGAACUAACUUAACAUUUUGUUAUUUUAAAAGCAAAUGAAUAUGUCAAAUAUUUCACAUGUUUUCCUAAUAGACCUCAAAACUUUUCCUGCAAAACUUAAGGAAGCUGCUUUGAGAGAAGAGUAUGGUCCAAGAAUAAUAUCCUACAAUGCAUAUUUGUAUCCAGAAUGGUUUAUACAGGUGUGAGCAAGUGGUAUGUUUGUAAAAAUUCUGUUGAAUAGGCCACUUUCUUUCAAUACAGUAAUUAUUGUUUCAUUGGUGCCUCUAGAAAAGCUACAAUUCAAUGGCAGUGAUCAAACCAUCCUCUUCCAAUGGGUCCCCAUAGAAAGUUCUCUGAAGCAUCAUGUCAUGAAUGUAAUGGACUUGGAGGGAAUUGCGGUGGUUGGAAGAGAGGGAAUUGGCCUAAUUGAACUUGAGGCUCUGAGAUUUCUGGUAUUAAGUUUCUUUUGAGUCAAAGAUUAUUUUGAUACUUGAGCUUUUUCUUCAUUAGUCCAUGGAUGCACUAUUUUCCACAUAGAAAAUACAGAAGUGAUUUGACAUUCUGAGGGAUACACCAAGACUUGCAGAUAUCACUGAAGUUUAAAUACAUAAUGGUCUCUACAGCUGUUUGGUUGUCUUCUCAAAUCACUUUCCCACCAAAUCAACCUGAGUUUGAUGGAUAUUUUUCACACCACAGCUUAAUUGUUGCUCAAGUUUUAUGGUCAUAUUUCUGAAAGAAAAAUGAAUUACUCCAAAGGGGUGGGAAGCACAGGACAGCAGUACAGCACUGAAGUGUGGCUGCCACGUGGCCGACUGGAUCAACUCACUGACUUAACGCUGUACCUAAACCAGCCUUUUAAUAAUUGUUAUACAGGUCCAUGCCUCAAAGUAUUAAGUAACACAUGUUGAGGCAUUUAAAGGUCCUUGUUGGGGCUUCCCUGGUGGUCCAGUGGUUACGACUCCACACCUUCACUGCAGGGGCCAUGGGAUCCACCCUUGCUUAGGGAACUAAAAUCCUACAAGCCGCAUGGCCUGGCCAAAAAUAAAACUAAAAAUAGAAGGUUGAACGUUUUUUUUUUUUAAAGUGAACCUUAAAAAAAUGUCCUUGUUAGCCCAACCACAGAUGCCAUACUAUAGAUUGCUGUCAUCCCCUGUGCCAUUAUUUGGUUAAAAAUAUAUAUAUUUAUUGAUUUAAAAUCUUUAUAAAAAUAUAAUUUUAUCAUUUUAAAUUUACCAUGGCCCCAAGCUCUCUAUGACAUAUCAAAAAUAAUUAGGAAUAUAUCAUCUUUACUGUCUACUAGAAAAGAUAAGAUUUGCAUAUGAUUAAUGUUCACAUGAGGUAAUGUGUAAUAAAUAGUUCUAAGUAUUCCAAGAGAAGAUGUUUAUUCUCCAGCUGGGAUAAUCGAGAAAGCCAUCACGUGGGAGGCAUUCAAGCUGGUUUUGAAGGACGGAUAUGAUUUUGAUAUCUGUGAAUGUGAGAGAGAUCACUAUCCAUAAAAAUCUCAAAUAAUGAUUAUUUUAAAAAUGGCUUUUAUGGAGUUUUUCCCACUUGUUUUAUUUUGCUUUGAUUUCUCUAUAGGCAUCUUAGUGUAAGGGAAGAGGGCAUGAAAUACAGAGAACAAUCACCAGAGUUUGAUUUUGGUCAUUGUUCCUUACAAGCAAUGGACUCUGAGCCUUGGUUUUAUCAUCAGUAAAAUGGGCAUGUGCUGCUGCUGCUGCUGCUGCUAAGUCGCUUCAGUCGUGUCCGACUCUGUGCGACCCCAUGGACUGCAGCCUACAAGGCUCCUCCGUCCAUGGAUUUGCCAGGCAAGAGUACUGGAGUGGGGUGCCAUUGCCUUCUCUGCAAAUGGGCAUGUAGGAGACAACAAAGCAUCGCGCCCAGUUCCCAGGGUCCUGCUGAGAGUGCAAUGGAGUAGCUGAUGCUAAGCCCUCAGUGCAGAGUGUGAAAGGGGAGAGGGCUUGGAGGAGCUCUGCUUCCCGGGUCCUCUCCCUGCUCCCUCUCGCUGAACUCAGUAAACAAACUCGAGAUCCAUCAUUACCUGGAAAUAAAAUCUCGAUCCCAGACAUGUCCUGUUUCCUUACUUCUCUGUUCUAGUUCACUGGAAUAAUUUCCCAAUUAAUCAUACCUUGACAUAGUUUCAUGUUAAUUGGUUUCCAGGUAAAAAUUCUUAUUUUUAAGCCUUCAUGUUUUUCAAGGGAUGUAAGAGGCUUGAGCUUCUUUUUAUUUUUGGUUUUACUUUUUAGCACACAGUGGGAAAACUGAACAUUAAAUUUGCUUUCAGAAACAUUAUUUCAAAACCCUACCCUUCUUCCUGCCCUCUUUCCAAAUUAGAGAUAAGUGGCCAAAACAAAAAGUUUUAUCUGGCCCCUUUACAUAAGACAAGGUAGGAUCGAAGUGUGGUGUGGGGAAAGGUUUAUUUUAGUUUUGUUUUGUUUUCAUUUUUUUCUCUGGGUCAAGUGGAAAUUCUCUUUUGCAAACAAGAGAGGUGGAAAAGUGUGUGUUACUGCUCACAGCACUUCUAUAAGAAGUGCCUUUAAAACUGUGCAGCUCCCCCCCUACUCUUUUCACAACUUUUCUGUUGUUUUCCAUUGCUCUGUUUUUAUUUCUAACAGAGCUUGAAAUAGCUUUCAUUUGGCACUAGUGGUAAAAGAACCCACCUGCCGGUGCAGGAGAUGUAAGAUAUGGGGGUUCGAUCCCUGAGUAGGGAUGAUCCCCUGGAGAAGGGCUUGGCAACCCACUCCAGUAUUCUUGCCUGGAGAAGUCCACGGACAGAAGAGCCUGGCGGGCUACACUCCCUAGGGUCACAAAGAGUCGGACACGACUGAAGCAACUUAGCAGCAUAGCACCCACACGCCAACUGGAAGACUCAGAACCCUGUUCUGCUUUGCCUCUUAUCAUUCGGGGUCCUUUUGGGACCCUCAGAUUGGAAAGAACUGCCCAUCACUGCGUCUGGCCCACCAUAGCCAGGUUCCAUAUUGAUCAUUUGGGAGAGGACAGUCAGUGUCGGGGGUGGGAAGAAACAUAAGUCCUGCCCCUUCCUGGGUGGCCUGCACCUGCUACCUUCGCUCUCCACUUCCUUCCAUCCAUUGGACCUCUGUGUGUCUCUUGUUCUCGGGGCCAAAAUCACAGUCCUUAAACCACCUUAUAGAUGCGGAAGUCUGCAGGAGUGUAAAUCAUGUCCAGUGAGCAUGUGGUUCUGGAACUGGUCCGCUUCCCCACCACCUCCUUUCUCUGCUUUGUGGGCCUUCGGGGCCUUUGAAGUAAACUGGUGCUACAGCAGUUUCCACUUAAUUUGCCCAGUGGUUAAAUUGAUCUAUCUCUUUUAUUUGAUCCGAUCUCCAGGAACCGAAUCAUUUGCAUUGAUUUAUUGAUUGGAGCUGUGUUUUCACCAUUACUUUUGAUCACUUUCAGCUGUUAAUAUUGGAUAAUUCAAUCAGGAUUGAUUGGCCUUACCAUUGAAGGUAGAAAGUUAAUCAUAUAGGACAAAUAGGGCAGCGCUCACCUCGGUUUGACUAUUUACUUCUCUCUCUCUCUCACCCUGCAUCCCCUCUCUUCCUGUCAUCUAAGCAGUAGCAAAAAGCUGGGGGUUUUCUUGAGUAAAGAAGGGAGUUUAAAAUUUUAUAGCAUUCACAAUGCAUCUAAAGAUGAGGUAGUUUUAUUCUGCUUUUAAUAAAACUGCACCUAGAAAUUAAGCAAACAUCCAUCCAGAAAGAUGGAUAAGCAGGACUGUCACAAUGAACUCAUUUGGACUCAAUGAGUGAAUGCAUUUUCAAUUACCCGUUUUGUACCAAUAAAUGCCUAAUCUGUGUAUGCAUGCUUGGAGGCACAACCUGGGCUCACCUUUUUCUGAAUUUGGCCCUCACCACUUCACCAUGUGUCCGGCUCAUCAGAUUUUCAAGAAUCGAGCAGUUAAUAGGACCAAAGGAAGAGCAACAGAGGUCUCGGCCAAUAAGCGGAAAACCACUUUAUUUACAUUUGAAUCGUUUCUACGGCACCCCAGCUCAGUUUUUAAAAAUUCUCCAUCCAUUAAUUUCUCGAUGUUCCUAUCGACGGCUGGUUUUCGCUGUUAAAAGAUGGAGCACCACCUCCCCGUUCUAGGACUCGUUCCCUCCCUCCAACAGCCCUGUUGUUAGCGAUCUGCCAUGACAUUAUUUUUUUGUCUGGCCCAGAGCUGACGACAGAUGGCCAUCUCGGAACUGCCAUCAGUGCGACUUUAUGGAGCAUUCAGCUAGGGUGCACUGAAGAGCGCUGCGGCCAGUGUGCAGCCCCCUCCUCGCCCCCCACCCCCUGGAAACGGUCAUCACCUCUGCCACAUUCCGCUUUGGCUGGGCUCUGCUGGCCCUGCCGUCUCCUGCGCCGCCAAGUCAGCUUGCUGCCCCGGCACCAGAAGAUCUGCCUCAUCAGGAACGAGAAACUGCGGGCACGGCCGGCCUACAAAGACAGCUCUCUGCCUCGGCGCUUUUGUAGUCCGAUCCCCGGGAGAGAGCUGGACCUCCACGUCUCUAGAACAUUCUACAAUCCAGGGAGGCACCUUGAAGUCCCCCCACGUGUUCCUAUUUCAGAUGUUCGCUCCACAUGCAGAUCAGUUUCCUCCAUGUUCGCAGAGACAUAAUGCCAAGAAUAGACUCUUUCAGUUUGCAAACUUCGAUUGGACUCUUGGAAAACACCACCUCGGUAGCCAACUGCUUGUGGCAAUUAGAGUCAGAGAGAGGGUCAUCAUGGGCUUCGACGCUCAAUCCUCUAAAAUGAGCAAAGAAUUCACACCAGCAUCUUCUGAUCCAUUGACGUGGCAAUCCCUUGGCCGGCCGCAUGAAACGAGCUGUUGCUGAGCGUUUGGAGCAAGAUUGAUAGGCUGUUCUUGAUCGAGUUUGCUAAGGCCAGGCGGCUUCAGAGCCAAGCGUGUAUUUUAAGGGGAAUUCACAUUUGUAUCCUUUAUUGUUAUAUUUGCAGGGAAUCUACAGCUCCUAACAGGCUCUGCCCUGCAGCUAUGAAGGAGCUAGUUCACCCUCAUCCGGGAGAGAGCGGGAUUCUGUGAAAGCCUGCGAUGUGGCAGGCGAGAAGAACAGUGCUUAAAAGCGCUGCUCACGGUGCUGUCAUUUAGAACAGCAACUCCAAGGCUUUAAAUGGGAGUGAGAGGCAGGGUAAACGAGGCCUUUAAAAGUGGUGAAAUUCUAAACUGCCUAAAAUAACAGGCCUCCUUCAUUGAUAACUUCAUUGAGGCAGUGAUGUCGGGGAGCUUACUGGCCAGGACCCGCUUUCACUUUCUGGUAAAGAGGAGGGCAGCGUUUGCAGAGGCGAGGCUUUCCCCCUUGUACCCAGCGUGUCUGGGAAGCCGGCAGGCUUUCUUUAGUGGCUCCCUCUGGCUUUGGUGCGGCCCCUCAGCUGGCAGAUAGACCAUCUCUUGCUGGAAACCCGAAUCACCCGUAAAAGGUUUCCUUUUUCUCAUUGCCAAGGCUUAAUUUUAUAAUCAUCUGACUUCCACCACUGGGCACAUCUGCGAAGUGCAUGCGCCUUCUAGACACAUAAAAGGCUAGUGUGACCCAUCAGCUAUCAGCAGUGUGCUUUGCUGUGCUUGGGAGUUUAUAAGCGGGGAGAGGUAUUUGUGCAGGAAGAUAGAACCGUCUAUUCUCUGUGAGCCAGGCACUAAGACCUCACCCCCGUGCUCAGUUAUAAUUCAUGACAGUACUGGUGGGAAGCCCUCAUCUCUCUGUGGAGUUAAUGCAUCUCCACCGAAGCCUGCUGCGAGCACCCUGCGUCCCCGCCCACCAUCUGUGCCUCCACUUGCAAGCGCAGGCUCUCUCUCUCUCUUCUGUUACUCACUCUUUCCUGAGAUCUCUUGGUAUUAAUAUUGUCAGGCUACUACCCACUUUGUAAAGGUGACUCUCCAAAACAGGCUUGUCGUGUUACGAGUGGAAGAGCUGGAAGGGACGCUUUCCACUGUGGUGAAAUGUCUCAUUUGGAAAAUGUCGAUUAGAAAAGGAUGGGGAGGCAGCAGUGCCCUUAAACCAGUCGCAACCUCCAGGGUAGUCCAGGAUGCUCUGCCAGUCCCUGGCUAGUAAAGGGGCACGUGUGGUCCAUGGUGAGAGGCCUCACAGGGUAGACAUUACGAUCCAGGUUAAUCCUGUUCUGAGCCGGAGUGCAGAGUCCAGAGCUGAAUCUGAAGAGAUGCUUGUCUGUUCUGUCCAGGGGCUUGGACCAGCUGUAGGGGCCAACCCAGUCCUGCACGCCGGCCCCUCUGUGAGGAGAUGCCAGCCACCCUGAGAACAAGAGCAAUUGUCCCAGGGCUACCCAAAGCCUCAGCUCAAUAUGGUCAAGCCUUGGGCUUUACAGAACCCCCCUAAAAUAGCCAUGGUCAUUUGUGAAGCUGAAUGAGCAGAGGUGGCCAAACUCCCAGGCUCCCUGCAGUCCAGAGCCGGCAGUGGUUUGUUCCCACCCUGUCCCAGGUCCUCCGUGCUGCUGCCUCCCUCUUCCCCUCCCUGAUUCCCACUCCCCACUCUGCUGGGAGCCCGAGGGGGAUGGGCCAUGAGGCCAGCAUGGGUUCAAAUAAAAGAUGACCGGGUACCUCCUUGAGCACGGCUGACCUCAGAUGAAUGUUCAGUGUUUCACAAUAUGUGCUCUUAACAGAGCCCGUUGUUAGUGUUCCUUUAAUAAGAUAAAGCAAAACCAGGCCGGGGACACCAGCAGAUGAAUUUAAUAGAUGUGAAUCCAUGAGCUACCUCCUGUGUGAGACAGUGCUAAAACAGCCUUUCUCUACUUGAGACUCGGGCUUACCCAAAGAGCCGUCCCAGCUCUGGAGGCGAGGUGAGAGGUCACCCACUAAGACAGUAGCACCCACACUGAAGUUCAGCCUUGUGUGUAAUUGGUUCCGAAUCUCCUCCUGGCGUCUGGCUGGUGCUCGCCCCAUCGUCUCGCUCACCCUCCCAAGGAAAAGUAGGGCAGGGAGCUGGCUGUGCGCCCUGUCCAGGUUUUCCUGGGUGAAAGAUCACUUGGAGAUGACACAGCUGAGUAGUCAGCCUGAAAUCCUGCAUCUGCUCAGCAAGAGGCUGCUCAUUUCGUUCUGUUCCGAGGCAGGCAACAGGAGGGCAGCUUUCUAAUCAGCCCUCAAAGGACCCCCAGCCGCCCCAGAGUCUCCGGCUGAUUGAAUAACUCCUGGGCCUCUUCCCCUAGGCCUCCAUCAGCGGGGGUCCUGUGGAAAGCAAUCUCCUGCAGACUGGCACUGAAGAGAGCUUUAAACCACCAUUUUCUGCUCUCCAGAGGAGCCUAGAGUACUAAAAGAUAGAUGGACUGCAGAUAUUUUAUGAGAAACUGUCAGAAGAAGAGCAGAGUAAAUGUUUUUUUUCUUCUUCUUCUCCGAGUCACACACUACAUCACUGUUGAAUUUCUCCCAGAAUCUUUUACAUUUAAAGGAAGAAAUUAAUUGGUUGCUAACCUUUCACUGCCCUCUCCCUUCUUCCUCGUUGUCUUCCUCUCCCUUUUUUUUUUUCUUAAAUAUUCACACAGAGGCCCUUUGCUUAACCACAGUUGCAGAAAAUCAGUACCAUUUGCAAUGAAAUAUUUAUAAUGACAGAAUGAAAAAUUGGAUUCAUUUUCUGGACUGUAGCCGAACAGUCUGCAACUUUGUGUGGUAUUGUUAGGCCUCCCCCCCACCCUUCCUCCCUUUCACUGGAAGCUUGUUCGAAAACAGGACACAUGGACGUUUACCUGUGCUUUGGAGGGAGGCCUACCAAAACACAGAACCCGUUCCUGGGCUUUUUUUAAGGGAGAGAAGAGCUUAUUUUCGUCUGUGCUGCCACGUGGGGGGCACUCGGGCUGUGGCCCAUAAAAAGGUAGAGAGGAUGUGAACCCGGUCAAAAGAAAGAGUGUUGGCUCUGUGGGGAGGAGCUGGGACAAGUUUACAGAGAAGGCAGGAGCCGGUCUGGCCCGCACUCUCUGCACACU
Molecule: long non-coding RNA, 10526 nt
Organism: Bubalus bubalis (water buffalo)
Lineage: Eukaryota; Metazoa; Chordata; Mammalia; Artiodactyla; Bovidae
Exons: 2
Source: RefSeq, a predicted model, not a curated record